GCCGAUGUGGCGGAACUGGCAGACGCGCUGCGUUCAGGGCGCAGUGGGCAUUUGGCCCGUGGGGGUUCAAAUCCCUCCAUCGGCA
This 85-nucleotide transfer RNA is filed under the name Anaerolineae bacterium. RNAcentral's name for it is "tRNA-Leu". It matches the Rfam family "tRNA". Rfam says of the family: Transfer RNA (tRNA) molecules are approximately 80 nucleotides in length. Their secondary structure includes four short double-helical elements and three loops (D, anti-codon, and T loops). Further hydrogen bonds mediate the characteristic L-shaped molecular structure. tRNAs have two regions of fundamental functional importance: the anti-codon, which is responsible for specific mRNA codon recognition, and the 3' end, to which the tRNAs corresponding amino acid is attached (by aminoacyl-tRNA synthetases). tRNAs cope with the degeneracy of the genetic code in two manners: having more than one tRNA (with a specific anti-codon) for a particular amino acid; and 'wobble' base-pairing, i.e. permitting non-standard base-pairing at the 3rd anti-codon position. Lineage: Bacteria; Bacillati; Chloroflexota; Anaerolineae. The record is from RNAcentral. RNAcentral also lists the same sequence under 2 other names.